RNAcentral lists this ribosomal RNA (496 nucleotides) under uncultured bacterium. Its description in RNAcentral is "partial 16S ribosomal RNA". It matches the Rfam family "Bacterial small subunit ribosomal RNA", at positions 28 to 506 of the family's 1533-position model. The record is from RNAcentral.
GAUGAACGCUGGCGGCGUGCCUAAUACAUGCAAGUCGAGCGAACGGACGAGAAGCUUGCUUCUCUGAUGUUAGCGGCGGACGGGUGAGUAACACGUGGAUAACCUACCUAUAAGACUGGGAUAACUUCGGGAAACCGGAGCUAAUACCGGAUAAUAUUUUGAACCGCAUGGUUCAAAAGUGAAAGACGGUCUUGCUGUCACUUAUAGAUGGAUCCGCGCUGCGUUAGCUAGUUGGUAAGGUAACGGCUUACCAAGGCAACGAUGCAUAGCCGACCUGAGAGGGUGAUCGGCCACACUGGAACUGAGACACGGUCCAGACUCCUACGGGAGGCAGCAGUAGGGAAUCUUCCGCAAUGGGCGAAAGCCUGACGGAGCAACGCCGCGUGAGUGAUGAAGGUCUUCGGAUCGUAAAACUCUGUUAUUAGGGAAGAACAUAUGUGUAAGUAACUGUGCACAUCUUGACGGUACCUAAUCAGAAAGCCACGGCUAACUACGU